RNAcentral lists this ribosomal RNA (394 nucleotides) under uncultured Bacillota bacterium. Its description in RNAcentral is "bacterial SSU rRNA". It matches the Rfam family "Bacterial small subunit ribosomal RNA", at positions 53 to 427 of the family's 1533-position model. Lineage: Bacteria; Bacillati; Bacillota. The record is from RNAcentral.
ACAUGCAAGUCGAACGAAGCACUUUAUUUGAUUUCCUUCGGGACUGAUUAUUUUGUGACUGAGUGGCGGACGGGUGAGUAACGCGUGGGUAACCUGCCUUGCACAGGGGGAUAACAGUUGGAAACGGCUGCUAAUACCGCAUAAGCGCACCGCAUCGCAUGAUGCAGUGUGAAAAACUCCGGUGGUAUAAGAUGGACCCGCGUUGGAUUAGCUAGUUGGUGAGGUAACGGCCCACCAAGGCGACGAUCCAUAGCCGACCUGAGAGGGUGACCGGCCACAUUGGGACUGAGACACGGCCCAAACUCCUACGGGAGGCAGCAGUGGGGAAUAUUGCACAAUGGGCGAAAGCCUGAUGCAGCGACGCCGCGUGAGCGAAGAAGUAUUUCGGUAUGUA